Mauremys mutica (yellowpond turtle) is the source of this 565-nucleotide long non-coding RNA. RefSeq lists it as uncharacterized. NCBI's taxonomy places the organism in Eukaryota, Metazoa, Chordata, Testudines, Geoemydidae. The record is from RefSeq and is a predicted model, not a curated record. The transcript has 3 exons.
AGGAGCUGGCGCUGGUUGGAUAGGAGCAGAGAGGCCUCCUGUUUGGGACGUACUCCUGGGUACGCUGUGUAUAGACCCUGUGCUCACAGCAUGGGCCAGAUCUGCACCCACAGCGAGUUUACAGUCAGUGACGCUGAGGAGAGCUGUGGGCAAUGUCAGCCUCCCUGCUCGCCUGACCCUAGGCUAGUGGGAGCCAAAAAAGCACCAGGGAUGUUGUAAUUAUCCCAAAACCAAGCGUUCUGAUCCCCGGAAAUCUGCAGAGAAGGUUAAACUUAAAACACAUCCAAACAUGUGGCGGUAAGAAGUGCAUCCAAACAACCUUCACUUUGCCCUGUGGUGGUUUAUGGUCAUUUUUGGCCACUGUGCUGUUGGAGGUAGAGAGUUGCGCUAGGAGGUGAAUGAAUACAAGCAGUGGCCAUCUUUGCUAAGGCAGCCUGUGCCCUCAGCCCCACUUCGAUGCUAGCCAUUUUGAAAGAGGGAAGAUCUUUGUGGAAUUCUCCCUUAUCUGUGAGUCUCUGCUGAAGAAGAAACUUUCAGUUUUGAAGAAUAAUAGCAAAAAAGACCA